AUGCUUCCCUUGCUGAUUGGGUCACCCUGUCCACCCUGACAUGCACCACAGGCCCCAGGCCUUGGAACCAGGCCCAGCCUUGGCCUUCCCUGCCCCCAUUUCACCUUGAGUUCUCAGAAUGAGCCCUGAGCCUGUGUCCCCUGGAGUAUGGGCCUCAGUCCCAUGUUGGGAGCAGGACAGGCUGACCAGGCUGUCCCCAUCCUCCAGGGGGGCAUGUGCUCUGUGUACCUGAAGGACAGUGAGAAGGUUGUCAGCAUUUCCAGUGAGCACCUGGAGCCUAUCACCCCCACCAAGAACAACAAGGUAAGGGCAGGGGGCAAGGAGAUAAGAUGGGGCUGUUGGGUGCUGACAUGGACCCUGACCAUAUUUCCCCCCACCCCCAGGUGAAAGUGAUCCUGGGCGAGGAUCGGGAAGCCACGGGCGUCCUACUGAGCAUUGAUGGUGAGGAUGGCAUUGUCCGUAUGGACCUUGAUGAGCAGCUCAAGAUCCUCAACCUCCGCUUCCUGGGGAAGCUCCUGGAAGCUUGAAGCAGGCAGGGCCGGUGGACUUCGUCGGAUGAAGAGUGAUCCUCCUUCCUUCCCUGGCCCUUGGCUGUGACACAAGAUCCUCCUGCAGGGCUAGGCGGAUUGUUCUGGAUUUCCUUUUGUUUUUCCUUUUAGUUUUCCAUCUUUUCCCUCCCUGGUGCUCAUUGGAAUCUGAGUAGAGUCUGGGGGAGGGUCCCCACCUUCCUGUACCUCCUCCCCACAGCUUGCUUUUGUUGUACCGUCUUUCAAUAAAAAGAAGCUGUUUGGUCUAAAA
Molecule: small RNA, 798 nt
Filed under: Pan troglodytes (chimpanzee)
Lineage: Eukaryota; Metazoa; Chordata; Mammalia; Primates; Hominidae
Description: retained intron
Source: RNAcentral